Molecule: ribosomal RNA, 917 nt
Filed under: Citrobacter amalonaticus
Lineage: Bacteria; Pseudomonadati; Pseudomonadota; Gammaproteobacteria; Enterobacterales; Enterobacteriaceae
Description: partial 23S ribosomal RNA
Rfam family: Bacterial large subunit ribosomal RNA
Source: RNAcentral
UGUAUAAUGGGUCAGCGACUUAUAUUCUGUAGCAAGGUUAACCGAAUAGGGGAGCCGAAGGGAAACCGAGUCUUAACUGGGCGUUAAGUUGCAGGGUAUAGACCCGAAACCCGGUGAUCUAGCCAUGGGCAGGUUGAAGGUUGGGUAACACUAACUGGAGGACCGAACCGACUAAUGUUGAAAAAUUAGCGGAUGACUUGUGGCUGGGGGUGAAAGGCCAAUCAAACCGGGAGAUAGCUGGUUCUCCCCGAAAGCUAUUUAGGUAGCGCCUCGUGAAUUCAUCUCCGGGGGUAGAGCACUGUUUCGGCUAGGGGGCCAUCCCGGCUUACCAACCCGAUGCAAACUGCGAAUACCGGAGAAUGUUAUCACGGGAGACACACGGCGGGUGCUAACGUCCGUCGUGAAGAGGGAAACAACCCAGACCGCCAGCUAAGGUCCCAAAGUCAUGGUUAAGUGGGAAACGAUGUGGGAAGGCUCAGACAGCCAGGAUGUUGGCUUAGAAGCAGCCAUCAUUUAAAGAAAGCGUAAUAGCUCACUGGUCGAGUCGGCCUGCGCGGAAGAUGUAACGGGGCUAAACCAUGCACCGAAGCUGCGGCAGCGACACGAAGUGUUGUUGGGUAGGGGAGCGUUCUGUAAGCCUGUGAAGGUGUGCUGUGAGGCAUGCUGGAGGUAUCAGAAGUGCGAAUGCUGACAUAAGUAACGAUAAAGCGGGUGAAAAGCCCGCUCGCCGGAAGACCAAGGGUUCCUGUCCAACGUUAAUCGGGGCAGGGUGAGUCGACCCCUAAGGCGAGGCCGAAAGGCGUAGUCGAUGGGAAACAGGUUAAUAUUCCUGUACCAGGUGUUACUGCGAAGGGGGGACGGAGAAGGCUAUGUUGGCCGGGCGACGGUUGUCCCGGUUUAAGCGUGUAGGUGUGUGU